This 825-nucleotide ribosomal RNA is filed under the name bacterium UASWS0094. RNAcentral's name for it is "bacterial SSU rRNA". It matches the Rfam family "Bacterial small subunit ribosomal RNA", at positions 36 to 843 of the family's 1533-position model. The record is from RNAcentral.
CUGGCGGCGUGCCUAAUACACGCAAGUAGAACGCUGAAGAGAGGAGCUUGCUCUUCUUGGAUGAGUUGCGAACGGGUGAGUAACGCGUAGGUAACCUGCCUGGUAGCGGGGGAUAACUAUUGGAAACGAUAGCUAAUACCGCAUAAAAUUGAUUAUUGCAUGAUAAUUAAUUGAAAGAUGCAAUUGCAUCACUACCAGAUGGACCUGCGUUGUAUUAGCUAGUUGGUGAGGUAACGGCUCACCAAGGCGACGAUACAUAGCCGACCUGAGAGGGUGAUCGGCCACACUGGGACUGAGACACGGCCCAGACUCCUACGGGAGGCAGCAGUAGGGAAUCUUCGGCAAUGGGGGGAACCCUGACCGAGCAACGCCGCGUGAGUGAAGAAGGUUUUCGGAUCGUAAAGCUCUGUUGUAAGAGAAGAACGGGUGUGAGAGUGGAAAGUUCACACUGUGACGGUAUCUUACCAGAGAGGGACGGCUAACUACGUGCCAGCAGCCGCGGUAAUACGUAGGUCCCGAGCGUUGUCCGGAUUUAUUGGGCGUAAAGCGAGCGCAGGCGGUUAGAUAAGUCUGAAGUUAAAGGCUGUGGCUUAACCAUAGUAUGCUUUGGAAACUGUUUAACUUGAGUGCAGAAGGGGAGAGUGGAAUUCCAUGUGUAGCGGUGAAAUGCGUAGAUAUAUGGAGGAACACCGGUGGCGAAAGCGGCUCUCUGGUCUGUAACUGACGCUGAGGCUCGAAAGCGUGGGGAGCAAACAGGAUUAGAUACCCUGGUAGUCCACGCCGUAAACGAUGAGUGCUAGGUGUUAGGCCCUUUCCGGGGCUUAG